Molecule: transfer RNA, 72 nt
Filed under: Sarcophilus harrisii (Tasmanian devil)
Lineage: Eukaryota; Metazoa; Chordata; Mammalia; Dasyuromorphia; Dasyuridae
Rfam family: tRNA
About the family: Transfer RNA (tRNA) molecules are approximately 80 nucleotides in length.
Source: Rfam by way of RNAcentral
ACAUAGGUGGUUUAGUGGAUAGAAUUCUGGACUUGGGAUUCAGAAGACCUGAGUUCAAAUCUUGCCUAGCUG